UCGGGAAUUUUGGGCAAUGGGUGAAAGCCUGACCCAGCAACGCCGCGUGAGGGAUGAAGUAUUUCGGUAUGUAAACCUCGAAAGAAUGGGAAGAAUAAAUGACGGUACCAUUUAUAAGCUCCGGCUAACUACGUGCCAGCAGCCGCGGUAAUACGUAGGGAGCAAGCGUUGUUCGGAUUUACUGGGCGUAAAGGGCGCGUAGGCGGCGCGGUAAGUCACUUGUGAAAUCUCUGAGCUUAACUCAGAACGGCCAAGUGAUACUGCUGUGCUAGAGUGCGGAAGAGGCAACCGGAAUUCUUGGUGUAGCGGUGAAAUGCGUAGAUAUCAAGAGGAACACCUGAGGCGAAGGCGGGUUGCUGGGCCGACACUGACGCUGAUGCGCGAAAGCCAGGGGAGCAAACG
Molecule: ribosomal RNA, 402 nt
Filed under: uncultured bacterium
Lineage: Bacteria
Description: bacterial SSU rRNA
Rfam family: Bacterial small subunit ribosomal RNA
Source: RNAcentral